AGGGGCCAGGCCGCCGAGGGGCGGAGGCGACGGGUUGACCCCGGCCCUGAUGCUGUGUGACCCCGAGUCGGCCAAUACCCUCUCUGGGCCUCAGCUGCCUCCUCUGUACGAUGAGAAGGGGCGCCCGAUGGCCUCCGCAACCCCUUCCCGGCCCGCCUCGAUGACCCCUCGAUGGAGGGAGCCGGGCCCGGGGCGGGUCUGGAGCUGGAGCUGCAGCUGGUGCAGAGUCAGUGUCUCCAGAGGGACCCUCCUCCGUCUGGGGGACAAGGUCUGGCUGGUCGGGACUCCGGCCUCGCCACAGCGGGGAGAGCCGAGGGGUCGGAGGGCGUGAGCGGCGGCUGGACGCAGGGCCCUCCCCACAAAUUACUAACAUUCCAAGAUGUGGCUGUCAAUUUCACCCGGGAGGAAUGGGGUUUGUUGGAACCAGCUCAGAAGGACUUGUUCAGGGAUGUGAUGCUGGAGAACUAUGAGAAUUUUGUCUCCCUGGGUAAGGACGGCUUCUUUCUCAUGAAUCAUCUGGCCAUUGGGAUUCUUGGCAUUCUUUCUUCCUAUAGGUUAUGGAGUGUCUGAAGAAGUGCUUCAGUAAGGUUGAACUUUUUGUAUGAGGCUAUUCUUAGGAUUAUAUAUAAUAUGGAAACAUUCCUAAAUCUUUUGGUGUAAAGAAGCACAGUGUUUCUGC
This 679-nucleotide long non-coding RNA is filed under the name Vombatus ursinus (common wombat). Its description in RNAcentral is "lncRNA (ENSVURG00010020778.1)". Lineage: Eukaryota; Metazoa; Chordata; Mammalia; Diprotodontia; Vombatidae. The record is from RNAcentral.